AACCUCCGCAAUGUGAGAAAUCGCGACGGGGGGAUCCCAAGUGCCAUUCUUAACGGGAUGGCUUUUCAUUAGUGUAAAGAGCUUUUGGAAUAAGAGCUGGGCAGGACCGGUGCCAGCCGCCGCGGUAACACCGGCAGCUCUAGUGGUAACAAUUUUUAUUGGGCCUAAAGCGUCCGUAGCCGGUUUAAUAAGUCUCUGGUGAAAUCCUGCAGCUUAACUGUGGGAAUUGCUGGAGAUACUAUUAGACUUGAGACCGGGAGAGGUUAGAGGUACUCCCAGGGUAGAGGUGAAAUUCUGUAAUCCUGGGAGGACCGCCUGUUGCGAAGGCGUCUAACUGGAACGGUUCUGACGGUGAGGGACGAAGUUAGGGGCGCGAACCGGAUUAGAUACCCGGGUAGUCCUAACUGUAAACGAUGCGGACUUGGUGUUGGGGUGGCUUUGAGCUGCUUCAGUGCCGAAGGGAAGCUGUUAAGUCCGCCGCCUGGGAAGUACGGUCGCAAGACUGAAACUUAAAGGAAUU
RNAcentral lists this ribosomal RNA (520 nucleotides) under uncultured bacterium. Its description in RNAcentral is "bacterial SSU rRNA". It matches the Rfam family "Archaeal small subunit ribosomal RNA", at positions 345 to 866 of the family's 1478-position model. The record is from RNAcentral.